RNAcentral lists this ribosomal RNA (966 nucleotides) under Triticum aestivum (bread wheat). RNAcentral describes it as "partial small subunit ribosomal RNA". The record is from RNAcentral. Lineage: Eukaryota; Viridiplantae; Streptophyta; Magnoliopsida; Poales; Poaceae.
AUGAAGCUCCUCACCGAUCGCCUCGCGGACAUCGACCACGCCGUCACCGAGACCGACCUCACCACUCAGUUUCUCCAUGGCCUUGACAAGUGCCUCGACACCAUCCGUGUCGUCCUCGGGGACCAGGGCCUCCCGUUCGACACCGUCCUUUCACGGGUGGUUCUGGCCGAGGAGUCUCAGGCGCAGCACGCCGGCGAAGAGAGCGCUUCGGCCUUCGCUCUUUCUGGCGGACCAAGCUCCUCCACUCAUUCUGUCCUCCACUCGUUCCAUCCUCCUCCUCAUACGCAUUCCCUCCUCUGCUUCUUCUUUCUCAAAUCACUUCAUACAUGGCAUCUCAUGCUCCACGCAGAGACGGCGCGUACAGCCGUCGAUUUUUUUGUUGCCAUGCUCGGCCCAACCUCUCCCAUGUCGCAGUGUAGGCCAUGUUCGCUGCCACCGUGGAUGCUGGUGCCUUCGCUGUAUGAUUUUUUGCUACAUCCAUUUUUCUUGCUUGAACCGCUCCAUUUUUUCCUGGAACCAGAGCUCGACUUUGCUACAAUGCUAGGACGGUGGCUGCCAAGCAUUUUGCUGCAUCGAUUUUUUUGGCUGGAACUAGCAAUUAGUUUUGCUACAUCCAGCCGAAAGCAGAGCUGGAACUGUUUUUCAUUUAUGCUACCACUAGCGAAAACCAUUUUUUUGUUGUUGAAGCAUUUUUGCUGGAACCAGCAACCACGAAAGCUACAACCGGGAGAGUACAGGUUUUUUGCGAGCUCGUCGGAGGAGGUGCUGCGCCCGACGACCGCCGUGCGCCGGGGAUGCGGCGGCCGCCACCGGAGCUGUGACUGUCGAAACGGGGACCUGCAACUACAGGGACAAGCUGCUGCAUUCACGGAGCCGGCGAGAAACAAAAGAGACGACGACGGCAACGGCGGCGCCGGCGGCCGGCAAGGGCGGCGACAGGCGAAAUACGCCGGGCAGAGCUUCUAG